CAUGCAAGUCGAACGGUAACAGGAAGCAGCUUGCUGCUUUGCUGACGAGUGGCGGACGGGUGAGUAAUGUCUGGGAAACUGCCUGAUGGAGGGGGAUAACUACUGGAAACGGUGGCUAAUACCGCAUAACGUCGCAAGACCAAAGAGGGGGACCUUCGGGCCUCUUGCCAUCAGAUGUGCCCAGAUGGGAUUAGCUUGUUGGUGAGGUAACGGCUCACCAAGGCGACGAUCCCUAGCUGGUCUGAGAGGAUGACCAGCCACACUGGAACUGAGACACGGUCCAGACUCCUACGGGAGGCAGCAGUGGGGAAUAUUGCACAAUGGGCGCAAGCCUGAUGCAGCCAUGCCGCGUGUAUGAAGAAGGCCUUCGGGUUGUAAAGUACUUUCAGCGGGGAGGAAGGUGUUGUGGUUAAUAACCGCAGCAAUUGACGUUACCCGCAGAAGAAGCACCGGCUAACUCCGUGCCAGCAGCCGCGGUAAUACGGAGGGUGCAAGCGUUAAUCGGAAUUACUGGGCGUAAAGCGCACGCAGGCGGUCUGUCAAGUCGGAUGUGAAAUCCCCGGGCUCAACCUGGGAACUGCAUUCGAAACUGGCAGGCUUGAGUCUUGUAGAGGGGGGUAGAAUUCCAGGUGUAGCGGUGAAAUGCGUAGAGAUCUGGAGGAAUACCGGUGGCGAAGGCGGCCCCCUGGACAAAGACUGACGCUCAGGUGCGAAAGCGUGGGGAGCAAACAGGAUUAGAUACCCUGGUAGUCCACGCCGUAAACGAUGUCUACUUGGAGGUUGUGCCCUUGAGGCGUGGCUUCCGGAGCUAACGCGUUAAGUAGACCGCCUGGGGAGUACGGCCGCAAGGUUAAAACUCAAAUGAAUUGACGGGGGCCCGCACAAGCGGUGGAGCAUGUGGUUUAAUUCGAUGCAACGCGAAGAACCUUACCUGGUCUUGACAUCCACAGAAGAAUCCAGAGAUGGAUUUGUGCCUUCGGGAACUGUGAGACAGGUGCUGCAUGGCUGUCGUCAGCUCGUGUUGUGAAAUGUUGGGUUAAGUCCCGCAACGAGCGCAACCCUUAUCCUUUGUUGCCAGCGAUUAGGUCGGGAACUCAAAGGAGACUGCCAGUGAUAAACUGGAGGAAGGUGGGGAUGACGUCAAGUCAUCAUGGCCCUUACGACCAGGGCUACACACGUGCUACAAUGGCGCAUACAAAGAGAAGCGACCUCGCGAGAGCAAGCGGACCUCAUAAAGUGCGUCGUAGUCCGGAUUGGAGUCUGCAACUCGACUCCAUGAAGUCGGAAUCGCUAGUAAUCGUGGAUCAGAAUGCCACGGUGAAUACGUUCCCGGGCCUUGUACACACCGCCCGUCACACCAUGGGAGUGGGUUGCAAAAGAAGUAGGUAGCUUAACCUUCGGGAGGGCGCUUACCACUUUGUGAUUCAUGACUGGGGUGAAGUCGUAACAAGGUAACCGUAGGGGAACCUGCGGUUGGAUCACCUCCUUACCUUAAAGAA
This 1499-nucleotide ribosomal RNA is filed under the name Salmonella enterica subsp. enterica serovar Dublin. RNAcentral's name for it is "bacterial SSU rRNA". It matches the Rfam family "Bacterial small subunit ribosomal RNA". The record is from RNAcentral. Lineage: Bacteria; Pseudomonadati; Pseudomonadota; Gammaproteobacteria; Enterobacterales; Enterobacteriaceae.